This 445-nucleotide ribosomal RNA is filed under the name uncultured bacterium. RNAcentral's name for it is "bacterial SSU rRNA". It matches the Rfam family "Bacterial small subunit ribosomal RNA", at positions 335 to 768 of the family's 1533-position model. The record is from RNAcentral.
ACUCCUACGGGAGGCAGUAGUGGGGAAUAUUGGACAAUGGGCGAAAGCCUGAUCCAGCCAUGCCGCGUGUGUGAAGAAGGUCUUCGGAUUGUAAAGCACUUUAAGUUGGGAGGAAGGGCAGUUACCUAAUACGUAAUUGUUUUGACGUUACCGACAGAAUAAGCACCGGCUAACUCUGUGCCAGCAGCCGCGGUAAUACAGAGGGGUGCAAGCGUUAAUCGGAAUUACUGGGGCGUAAAGCGCGCGUAGGUGGUUUGUUAAGUUGGAUGUGAAAUCCCCGGGGCUCAACCUGGGGAACUGCAUUCAAAACUGACUGACUAGAGUAUGGUAGAGGGUGGUGGAAUUUCCUGUGUAGCGGUGAAAUGCGUAGAUAUAGGAAGGAACACCAGUGGCGAAGGCGACCACCUGGACUAAUACUGACACUGAGGUGCGAAAGCGUGGGGAG